CAACUCAUCAAACAAGAAAAACUUGAGGAAAUUUGAUGAAGUGGAUGAUGGAGGAGACAGUGACUCGAGCUCUGAUCUAUUUGAGCUUUAGAACUAUGA
Long non-coding RNA from Telopea speciosissima, 99 nucleotides. RefSeq lists it as uncharacterized. The record is from RefSeq and is a predicted model, not a curated record. Lineage: Eukaryota; Viridiplantae; Streptophyta; Magnoliopsida; Proteales; Proteaceae. The transcript has 3 exons.